Molecule: ribosomal RNA, 492 nt
Filed under: uncultured bacterium
Lineage: Bacteria
Description: partial 16S ribosomal RNA
Rfam family: Bacterial small subunit ribosomal RNA
Source: RNAcentral
AGUGAACGCUGGCGGUAGGCCUAACACAUGCAAGUCGAACGGCAGCACAGUAAGAGCUUGCUCUUACGGGUGGCGAGUGGCGGACGGGUGAGGAAUACAUCGGAAUCUACUUUUUCGUGGGGGAUAACGUAGGGAAACUUACGCUAAUACCGCAUACGACCUACGGGUGAAAGCAGGGGAUCUUCGGACCUUGCGCGAUUGAAUGAGCCGAUGUCGGAUUAGCUAGUUGGCGGGGUAAAGGCCCACCAAGGCGACGAUCCGUAGCUGGUCUGAGAGGAUGAUCGGCCACACUGGAACUGAGACACGGUCCAGACUCCUACGGGAGGCAGCAGUGGGGAAUAUUGGACAAUGGGCGCAAGCCUGAUCCAGCCAGACCGCGUGGGUGAAGAAGGCCUUCGGGUUGUAAAGCCCUUUUGUUGGGAAAGAAAAGCAGCAGGUUAAUACCCAGCUGUUCUGACGGUACCCAAAGAAUAAGCACCGGCUAACUUCGUG